RNAcentral lists this unclassified non-coding RNA (215 nucleotides) under Hevea brasiliensis (rubber tree). The record is from RNAcentral. Lineage: Eukaryota; Viridiplantae; Streptophyta; Magnoliopsida; Malpighiales; Euphorbiaceae.
GUGACAGAUAAUAUGUAAAGGAGAAAGUAUCAUUUACGAGGUUGACUAGAAAAACCUUUCUUUUCUUUUUUUUGUUUGAUAACUGAUUAAGUCAAAUUAUAUAGACAUUUAAGAUUAACAUUCAUUGCAUUUAGUUGGCAAUUAGUCUCCUUUCAUGUUUAUUUUUAUGUGUUUUUAGUAUUAUUUUAGAAAACGUGUUAAUCUAACUCAAUUCA